Molecule: ribosomal RNA, 492 nt
Filed under: uncultured bacterium
Lineage: Bacteria
Description: partial 16S ribosomal RNA
Rfam family: Bacterial small subunit ribosomal RNA
Source: RNAcentral
AGUGAACGCUGGCGGUAGGCCUAACACAUGCAAGUCGAACGGCAGCACAGUAAGAGCUUGCUCUUACGGGUGGCGAGUGGCGGACGGGUGAGGAAUACAUCGGAAUCUACUUUUUCGUGGGGGAUAACGUAGGGAAACUUACGCUAAUACCGCAUACGACCUACGGGUGAAAGCAGGGGAUCUUCGGACCUUGCGCGAUUGAAUGAGCCGAUGUCGGAUUAGCUAGUUGGCGGGGUAAAGGCCCACCAAGGCGACGAUCCGUAGCUGGUCUGAGAGGAUGAUCAGCCACACUGGAACUGAGACACGGUCCAGACUCCUACGGGAGGCAGCAGUGGGGAAUAUUGGACAAUGGGCGCACGCCUGAUCCAGCCAUACCGCGUAGGUGAAGAAGGCCUUCGGGUUGUAAAGCCCUUUUGUUGGGAAAGAAAAGCAGCAGGUUAAUACCCCGCUGUUCUGACGGUACCCAAAGAAUAAGCACCGGCUAACUUCGUG